CUCCCGGCAUUCCCCGUGGGCGGUGCUCCCCUUUGACCCCUCGCUCGCGUGCUACACAUCCGGGCCUCUGCUACUAGUGAGGGGAAGAUGGCGGCCGCAACUGUGGUGGUUCCUGUAGAGUGGAUAAAGAACUGGGAGAAAUCAGGGAGAGGCGAAUUUUUGCAUUUAUGCCGGAUCCUCAGUGAAAAUAAAAGCCAUGAUAGUUCCACUUAUAGAGAUUUCCAGCAAGCUCUUUAUGAGUUAUCAUACCAUGUCAUUAAAGGAAAUCUAAAGCAUGAACAGGCAUUUAAUGUUCUUAGUGACAUUAGUGAAUUUCGUGAGGAUAUGCCCUCUAUUCUUGCUGACGUAUUCUGCAUAUUAGAUAUUGAGACAAAUUGUUUAGAAGAAAAAAGCAAGAGAGACUAUUUUACACAAUUGGUAUUAGCAUGUUUGUAUUUAGUUUCAGACACAGUUCUAAAGGAACGCUUGGAUCCAGAAACAUUGGAAUCAUUAGGGCUUAUCAAACAAUCACAGCAAUUCAAUCAAAAGUCAGUUAAAAUCAAGACAAAACUCUUUUAUAAACAGCAAAAAUUCAAUUUGUUAAGAGAAGAGAAUGAAGGUUAUGCCAAGCUGAUUGCUGAAUUGGGGCAAGAUUUAUCUGGAAAUAUUACUAGUGAUCUAAUCUUAGAAAAUAUCAAAUCUUUAAUAGGAUGCUUUAAUCUGGAUCCCAAUAGAGUUCUGGAUGUCAUUUUAGAAGUGUUUGAAUGCAGGCCAGAACACGAUGACUUCUUUAUAUCUUUAUUAGAAUCUUACAUGAGUAUGUGUGAACCGCAAACACUGUGUCAUAUUCUUGGGUUCAAAUUCAAGUUUUACCAGGAACCAAAUGGAGAGACUCCUUCAUCUUUAUACAGAGUUGCAGCAGUACUUCUACAAUUUAAUCUUAUUGAUUUAGAUGAUCUUUAUGUACAUCUUCUUCCAGCUGAUAGUUGCAUUAUGGAUGAACACAAACGAGAAAUUGUAGAAGCUAAGCAAAUUGUUAGAAAACUUACAAUGGUUGUAUUGUCUUCUGAUAAAAUUGAUGAGCGAGAGAAAGAAAAGGAAAAAGAAGAGGAGAAAGUGGAAAAGCCACCUGACAACCAAAAGCUUGGAUUGUUGGAAGCCUUGUUAAAGAUUGGUGAUUGGCAGCAUGCACAGAACAUUAUGGAUCAGAUGCCUCCAUACUAUGCAGCUUCACAUAAGCUAAUAGCCCUUGCUAUUUGCAAGCUUAUUCAUAUAACUAUUGAGCCUCUCUACCGACGAGUUGGCGUUCCUAAAGGUGCUAAAGGCUCACCUGUUAAUGCUUUGCAAAAUAAGAGAGCACCAAAACAAGCAGAGAGCUUUGAAGAUUUGAGGAGAGACGUCUUCAAUAUGUUCUGCUACCUUGGUCCCCACCUUUCUCAUGAUCCCAUUUUAUUUGCAAAAGUGGUGCGCAUAGGCAAGUCAUUUAUGAAGGAGUUUCAGUCUGAUGGAAGCAAGCAGGAAGAUAAAGAGAAAACGGAAGUUAUCCUUAGCUGUUUGCUUAGCAUUACUGACCAGGUAUUACUUCCAUCUCUUUCUUUGAUGGACUGCAAUGCUUGUAUGUCUGAGGAACUGUGGGGAAUGUUUAAGACAUUUCCAUAUCAGCAUAGAUAUCGUCUGUAUGGCCAGUGGAAGAACGAAACUUACAACAGUCACCCACUUUUAGUAAAAGUUAAAGCUCAAACAAUAGACAGAGCCAAAUAUAUCAUGAAGCGUCUAACCAAGGAAAAUGUGAAGCCUUCUGGAAGACAAAUUGGGAAGUUGAGCCACAGCAAUCCAACCAUUUUGUUUGAUUAUGUAUGUUUUGAGAUUUUGUCACAAAUACAGAAGUAUGAUAACUUAAUAACACCUGUAGUAGAUUCAUUGAAAUACCUCACUUCAUUGAAUUAUGAUGUCUUGGCCUAUUGUAUCAUUGAAGCUUUAGCUAAUCCAGAAAAGGAGAGAAUGAAACAUGAUGACACAACAAUCUCAAGCUGGCUUCAGAGUCUGGCUAGUUUCUGUGGUGCAGUUUUUCGUAAAUAUCCAAUUGAUCUUGCUGGUCUUCUUCAAUAUGUGGCUAAUCAGCUAAAGGCAGGCAAAAGUUUUGACCUGCUUAUAUUGAAAGAAGUGGUACAAAAAAUGGCAGGAAUAGAAAUUACGGAAGAAAUGACAAUGGAGCAGCUAGAGGCCAUGACUGGUGGAGAGCAACUAAAAGCUGAGGGUGGUUAUUUUGGCCAGAUAAGAAACACUAAAAAAUCUUCCCAGAGAUUAAAGGAUGCACUAUUAGACCAUGAUCUUGCUCUUCCUCUCUGUUUGCUUAUGGCUCAGCAGAGGAAUGGGGUAAUCUUUCAGGAAGGUGGAGAGAAACAUUUGAAACUUGUGGGAAAACUCUAUGAUCAGUGUCAUGAUACCCUGGUACAAUUUGGUGGGUUUUUAGCAUCUAAUCUAAGCACAGAAGAUUAUAUAAAGCGAGUGCCUUCAAUUGAUGUGCUCUGUAAUGAAUUUCACACACCCCAUGAUGCAGCAUUUUUCCUGUCUAGACCAAUGUAUGCACACCAUAUUUCGUCAAAGUAUGAUGAACUUAAAAAAUCAGAGAAGGGAAGUAAACAGCAACAUAAAGUUCAUAAGUACAUUACAUCAUGUGAAAUGGUGAUGGCUCCUGUCCAUGAAGCAGUGGUUUCCUUACAUGUUUCCAAGGUCUGGGAUGACAUCAGCCCUCAAUUCUAUGCUACAUUCUGGUCGUUGACAAUGUAUGACCUUGCAGUUCCACAUACCAGCUAUGAACGGGAAGUCAAUAAACUUAAAGUCCAGAUGAAAGCAAUUGAUGACAAUCAGGAAAUGCCUCCAAAUAAAAAGAAAAAAGAGAAGGAGCGAUGUACUGCCCUUCAGGACAAACUUCUUGAAGAAGAAAAGAAACAGAUGGAACAUGUACAGCGAGUUCUACAGAGACUGAAACUGGAAAAGGACAACUGGCUUUUAGCAAAAUCUACCAAAAAUGAGACCAUCACAAAAUUUCUACAGCUGUGUAUAUUUCCUCGAUGUAUUUUUUCAGCAAUUGAUGCUGUUUACUGUGCUCGUUUUGUUGAAUUGGUACAUCAACAGAAAACUCCAAAUUUUUCCACACUUCUUUGCUAUGAUCGAGUUUUCUCUGAUAUAAUUUACACAGUUGCAAGCUGUACUGAAAAUGAAGCUAGUCGAUAUGGGAGAUUCCUAUGCUGCAUGUUAGAGACUGUGACCAGGUGGCACAGUGAUAGAGCCACAUAUGAAAAGGAAUGUGGGAAUUAUCCAGGAUUUCUUACUAUAUUACGGGCAACUGGAUUUGAUGGUGGAAAUAAAGCUGAUCAGUUAGAUUAUGAAAAUUUUCGACAUGUUGUACAUAAAUGGCAUUACAAACUAACCAAGGCAUCGGUACAUUGCCUUGAAACAGGCGAAUAUACUCACAUCAGGAAUAUCUUGAUUGUGCUAACAAAAAUACUUCCUUGGUACCCAAAAGUUUUGAAUCUUGGUCAGGCUUUGGAAAGAAGAGUGCAUAAAAUCUGCCAAGAGGAAAAAGAGAAGAGGCCAGAUCUAUAUGCAUUGGCUAUGGGCUACUCUGGGCAGUUGAAAAGUAGAAAGUCAUACAUGAUACCUGAAAAUGAGUUUCAUCACAAAGACCCCCCUCCGAGGAAUGCAGUUGCCAGUGUACAAAAUGGGCCUGGUGGUGGGCCUUCUUCUUCAUCGAUAGGAAGUGCAUCUAAAUCAGACGAAAGCAGUACUGAGGAGACUGAUAAAUCAAGGGAGAGAUCUCAGUGUGGUGUGAAAGCUGUUAAUAAAGCUUCUAAUGCCACACCGAAAGGGAAUUCAAGCAAUGGAAAUAGUGGCUCUAACAGCAGCAAAACUGUUAAAGAAAAUGACAAAGAAAAAGGGAAAGAGAAAGAAAAAGAGAAAAAAGAAAAGACUCCAGCUACUACUCCAGAGGCCAGAGUACUUGGUAAAGAUGGUAAAGAAAAACCGAAGGAAGAACGACCAAAUAAAGAUGAAAAAGCAAGAGAAACGAAGGAAAGAACACCUAAGUCUGACAAAGAGAAAGAAAAAUUCAAGAAGGAAGAAAAGGCUAAAGAUGAGAAAUUCAAGACCACUGUACCCAACGUAGAAUCAAAGUCGACACAAGAAAAGGAAAGGGAGAAGGAACCAUCCAGAGAAAGAGAUAUAGCAAAGGAAAUGAAAUCAAAGGAAAAUGUUAAAGGAGGAGAGAAAACACCAGUUUCUGGGUCCUUGAAGUCACCUGUUCCCCGAUCAGAUAUUGCAGAGCCUGAAAGGGAACAGAAACGUCGUAAAAUUGAUACCCACCCUUCUCCAUCACAUUCCUCAACAGUAAAGGUUAGUAUAGCCUGAGGAAGGCAGCGUCCAUGUUAGGCUCACCUGUUUGGAAUACGUGUCCUGACUUCCUUCAAGUCUUGUGCCAAGUAUUCACUGGAGCCACUGGAGGUUUUAUAUUGCUUUAGAAAAUGAAAUUUUUACAUAUUGGUUGACUGAUAUUUUUUCCUAUUGAGUAUUUUUAUUAUAAAAAUAUUACAACUUCAAGGACCUAGCACUAAUUUUGUAGCAUUUCAAAGUGCAAGAGAAAUUUUACCCAGAAGUGCCUCACUGCUUUAAGCAGUCUUUUUUGGAGUGCAAUGGUAGCUACAAGCAAAUGAAUCUUUUCAGCAGAAUGAAGCCUAUUUUUCAGCAUAAAUAUUGAAGAAUAUAUAGCACUGAAGACUUCCUGGAUGAUACAGGAUAAACAAGAUACCUCUGAAUUCAUCAUGCUUCUUGAUGAGCAUCAUACCGAUGUGUGCCUUCUAAGAAGGAGUCUUGAAAGGAGUUCCAUUUUAAAGUCUCCUUGGUGAUCAGUUCUCCUGUAGUUGUGUAUAUUCAGUGAGCGUGCAGCUUCUGUUGUAUCUUCCCUUGGAGGUUUGUUUAUACCCAUUGGGUUCCCAACAAGUUGAACCUUGCGUUACGAUAAAAGCAGAUGUGGCAUCCAAUCCUACCACCCAGCAAAGAGAAACCCCAGGCAUUCAACUGCAGCACAAAAUCGUGGGUGUAGCCUUCUUGAAGACUCAGGGUAGCCAUUCCUUGCUCCAUAUUUAAUUUUAAUUCUAAAGUCAUCUAAUUUCAUGGAAUCUUUGAAUUUGCAGUACGUUGAACUUUUAAACCUGUAAGUUAACUAAUUCUUCGUUAAGAGCACUGUGGUGGAAUACUGUAAUUGAUUUCCUUUUCUUUCUUUUUUUUAAGUGCUUUUUUUUGUGGGAGGUAUGAGAUUCACCAUUAGAGGCACUUUGCAAAAAAGUAAUUACUCUUUUAUAGAAUACUUUCUGUUAUCUUGUUUAUGUAAUGCCACUGAGUUUUCUGGCUAGGUUAAAAUAUGUGUAUAUUUGUGUUAGAGUCACAAGUAAAGUAAAUUUGAAGCCUCCCUAUUAAAAAAAACUAUGAAAAUAUAUGACAAUGUUGUUCUUCCACAGUGAUCUCCACUAUUUUAAACUUUUUGUGGAGAAAAAAUGUUUUGCUUUCCUAAGCUUCUUAAUAUUACCUAACGCUUAAAUACAGUGUUAAUUUUUUUUAAAAUUCUAAUCAGAGAAUUUUUGUUACAUUGAGUACAUAUAAUUUUUUUAACAUUACAAUUCCAUUACAUAGUUUUGCUUUUGUUUUUUUAUUGUUGAUAUUCAUAUAAUAAUGACAUCAUGAGAUUUAUCCUCACAAGAAGUAGCUGGUUUAUUUCCAGGUUACAGCCAUACUUCCCAAAGUUCCUCUGGGUUCUGAGAACUAUGCCAGCUCACCUGUCAUCUCCAUUCAUUUUCUACAGGACAAUCUCAUCGAACUCAAGGAGUCUUCAGCAAAGCUCUACAUUAAUCAUACUCCUCCACCACUGUCCAAGAGUAAGGAGAGAGAAAUGGACAAGAAAGAUUUGGACAAGUCGAGGGAAAGAUCCAGAGAAAGAGAAAAAAAAGAUGAAAAGGACAGGAAGGAACGGAAAAGGGAUCACUCAAACAAUGACCGAGAAGUGCCACCGGACUUAACCAAGAGGCGGAAAGAGGAAAAUGGAACAAUGGGGGUUUCAAAACACAAAAGUGAAAGCCCAUGUGAGUCUCCAUAUCCAAAUGAGAAAGACAAGGAAAAAAAUAAGUCAAAAUCUUCAGGCAAAGAAAAAAGCGGCGACUCAUUUAAAUCUGAAAAAAUGGAUAAAAUCUCCUCCGGUGGCAAAAAGGGUAUGGACAGACCCCUAAGCUGAAAGUCUCCCAGAGGAGGAUGCCAAAGCUCCAUGCGUCACUCUCAGAACGAUAUCUCCCAUAAUUAAGAGCUUCUGGUGCUGUCCAUUUAAUGGAAAUCUGCUUUAAAUCAGAAGAUGAAUACACACCACCAUCCUCUUGACGAGACAUUCCAAAGUCACUGAUUUUCAGAACAUUACUUUCACCUCCAGGCAGUUUCUUGCAGCAAGGUCCCUGUGUAUACAAUUUUUACUCGAGAUUCGCCAUCCAGAAGCAGCAUCUAAUGAAAAUUUCACUGUUUUAGUUCAUCCUUCUUUCUCAGAAAGGAGAGGAAAACGCCUCCUGGAACCAGUACCUUAAUUAUGUAGAUAGGCUGUAUUUGUGUGCAAACUAUAAGUUUGACGAUAUUGGGAUGAUUAUAUUGUUUGAGGAUUUUGGCUUCUUGUAAAAAUUUUAAUUUCAGUUCCUGUGAAAGAUCAUCUUCACAUGUUUUAACAGCAAUAGCAGUUUUAUCCUUCAGUGUGCCCUUAAAUACGUCAUCAAAAUUUCCCUUGCCCAGUAAUUGUGACAUCUUCAUGAUUCUGAACCCAUUUUUUUAUUCUAGUUAUGGCCAUACUGAUAAUACCAUGAUACUCUUUAUUGGAACAUUGACUUUUUUGCAGUUAAAAAAUUGAGAUAAAAUCCAUGACAUAAAAUUUGCCAUUUUGAAGUGUUUUUUAGUAUAUUCACAAUGUUGUAACCAUCACCACUAAUUCCAGAACAUUUCCAUCAGCCUGGAAACAGACUCCACGCCUGUUAGCAGUCACUCCCAAUUCUCUUUCCCCCAGCCCCUGGAAACGACUAAUGUAUUUUCUGUCUCUAUGGAUUUGCCUGUUUGGGACAUUUCAUAAAAAUGGAAUCAUGCAAUACGUGGCCUUUUGUGUCUGGCUUCUUUCACUUACCAUCAUGUUUUCAAGGUUCAUCCAUGUAGCAUGUAUCCGAACUUCAUUUCUUUUUAUAACUGAAUAAGAUUCCAUUGUAUGAAUGUGUGUACCACAUUUUGUUUAUCCAUUCAUCAGUGAUGAACAGGAACAAUGAUUUCUAAGUAUUAAAAUUGUAAGUUCAACAUUAGUGUAUCUAUAAUUGGUAAUGUCAAGAGUGAACAGAAUGCUGUAUAGAAACGAUAUGUAAAUUAUUUGUCAGCAUUUCAUGCAAGUGUGAUUAUUUUCUAAGGCCCUUCUAGCUCUGGUUUUAUGAAAUAUGUGAAUGUAGUAUUUUCAUCAAUAAAGUUUAAUGCAUUGAGCAUUAGUUUAAAAUUUGAGAACAAUGUUAGGCAGAUAUGAAAUUAUUUGCCACAUGUUGUAAUGAUCAUGUUUUGAAUUUAUUUCAGUAUACAGUAUUUGAAAAAUGUCAAUACAUAAAGGAAAAGAAAUGAGUAUAAUUAAGUCAAUAUAUUUUUAAAGCAAUUUUUAUAAUUUAGCAGACAUUGCAUCUUAAUAUAAGUCAUUAUUAAAAUCGUGUCCUUGUGAAAAAUAUGAUGUCAUUUUUCUCUUUUUUGUUGAUCAUGUAAAAUUGGUUCCUUUUCAUUGCUGUGUAUUCUAUUUACUUUUGACAAGCUAUUGCUUGUCCUUGUGGAAUGUUUUACAUGUUUCUAUUUAAUUUCUCCCUCUCUCCCCUCCCCCCUACUCCCUACCUCACCCUCUCACAGACAGAAUGUUCAGUGGUUUUUUUUUUUCUUUAAGUCAUCAUAGCGUGCCUAUCUUUAUUGGUUUCUAAGAGUGGGCGAUAAGAAAAAUGCAAAUAUUUCACCCUUAUCUAGGGACUUAAUUCAAGCCUUUGUUAUUGAGAGAACACACUGAUUUUUUUCCUUCUUUCUUAAAUCUUCCUUCCUCUUUCCAAUUCCUUCUUUCUUCCCUCCUCCCUUUUCUCCUUCUUGCCUCCUCCCUCCCUUUCUUCCUCUUCCUUUCAUCUGUUCCUUCUUCCCCUUUCCAUCCAUCCCCUUUCCCUUCUCCCCUCCCCCACUUUCUUCUUUUCUUCCUUCCUUUCUUAUCUGUCAAUAAAAUCACUUUGUUUCUUUCAGGUGAGAUUGGAAUGAAAUUGUUCAGCUGUGACCAGAAAUUUAUUUUCCUGAGUAGAUUGCCGAGAAUUAUGAAUGAAGAGGGCCCAUUUGCAUCUCCUUAAAUUAUUCAGUUAUCUGCUUUAUUGCUCCAUGCCGAAAACUUAAAAUUGUUUUGUGCAUUACUGUAUUUAACUUGUUGCUUAGUUUCUACAUGUUUAUUUUCAGUAAAUGGCUGAAAGUGUUAAACUGUUCCAUAUUUUUAGCACAAUGUGCUGCAUACAGUUUCCAACAAGCAAAUAAGGUUACAUAUGUACAGAAUUUCACUUCAGGUUAACUAAAUAUUGCCUGGGUUUAGUUUUUUUGGGGGGGUUGUUUUUUUUUCAAUCUGAAAUGCUUUUUAUUGUUUGAAAUGGAAAAUAAACGAUUAUUGAACCAUUUUGAAUUUACCUCA
Non-coding RNA from Sus scrofa (pig), 8728 nucleotides. Lineage: Eukaryota; Metazoa; Chordata; Mammalia; Artiodactyla; Suidae. The record is from RefSeq and is a predicted model, not a curated record.